RNAcentral lists this ribosomal RNA (574 nucleotides) under uncultured bacterium. RNAcentral describes it as "bacterial SSU rRNA". It matches the Rfam family "Bacterial small subunit ribosomal RNA", at positions 84 to 692 of the family's 1533-position model. The record is from RNAcentral.
CUUCGGUGGGAGCGGCGAACGGGUGAGUAACACGUUGGAACCUGCCUUGAACUCAGGGAUAACAUCUAGAAAUAGGUGCUAAUACCGGAUAGUCCCGAAAGGGUAAAGAUUUUUCGGUUCAAGAGGGUCCUGCGGCCUAUCAGCUUGUUGGUGAGGUAACGGCCCACCAAGGCUAUGACGGGUAGCUGGUCUGAGAGGAUGACCAGUCACAAUGGGACUGAGACACGGCCCAUCCUCCUACGGGAGGCAGCAGUAAAGAAUCUUCCACAAUGGGCGAAAGCCUGAUGGAGCAAUACCGCGUGAAGGAUGACGGUCGAAAGAUUGUAAACUUCUUUUCUGAGGGAAGAAUUCUGACGGUACCUCAGGAAUAAGCACCGGCUAACUCCGUGCCAGCAGCCGCGGUAAUACGGAGGGUGCAAGCGUUACCCGGAAUCAUUGGGCGUAAAGCGUCCGCAGGCGGUUUUUUAAGUCAAAUAUUAAAUCUCGUGGCCCAACCACGAGGCCGUGUUUGAAACUGAAAAACUAGAGUAUUUCAGAGGCAAGCGGAAUUCUGUGUGUAGGGGUAAAAUCCGUA